This 250-nucleotide ribosomal RNA is filed under the name uncultured bacterium. RNAcentral describes it as "partial 16S ribosomal RNA". It matches the Rfam family "Bacterial small subunit ribosomal RNA", at positions 355 to 622 of the family's 1533-position model. The record is from RNAcentral.
UGAGGAAUCUUCCACAAUGGGCGAAAGCCUGAUGGAGCGACACCGCGUGAAGGAUGAAGCCUUUGUUGGUGUAAACUUCUUUUCUCUCCGAAGAUAAUGACGGUAGGAGAGGAAUAAGGGGCGGCAAACUUCGUGCCAGCAGCCGCGGUAAUACGAAGGCCCCAAGCGUUAUCCGGAAUUACUGGGUGUAAAGCGUCUGUAGGUGGUUUGGAAAGUUUCGUGUGAAACUUCAGGGCUCAACCCUGAAUCG